GACGAACGCUGGCGGCGUGCUUAACACAUGCAAGUCGAACGGAGAGGCCCUGCUUUUGUGGGGUGCUCGAGUGGCGAACGGGUGAGUAACACGUGAGUAACCUGCCCUUGACUUUGGGAUAACUUCAGGAGACUGGGGCUAAUACCGGAUAGGAGCUCCUGCUGCAUGGUGGGGGUUGGAAAGUUUCGGCGGUUGGGGAUGGACUCGCGGCUUAUCAGCUUGUUGGUGGGGUAGUGGCUUACCAAGGCUUUGACGGGUAGCCGGCCUGAGAGGGUGACCGGCCACAUUGGGACUGAGAUACGGCCCAGACUCCUACGGGAGGCAGCAGUGGGGAAUAUUGCACAAUGGGCGGAAGCCUGAUGCAGCAACGCCGCGUGCGGGAUGACGGCCUUCGGGUUGUAAACCGCUUUCGCCUGUGACGAAGCGUGAGUGACGGUAAUGGGUAAAGAAGCACCGGCUAACUACGUG
RNAcentral lists this ribosomal RNA (468 nucleotides) under uncultured bacterium. RNAcentral's name for it is "partial 16S ribosomal RNA". It matches the Rfam family "Bacterial small subunit ribosomal RNA", at positions 28 to 507 of the family's 1533-position model. The record is from RNAcentral.